GUCAGUAGUCAAGUACUUUAUUUUUCAUUCUGCUAUCAUAAUGAUAGACAACAGUCAGUUAUUUCCAUUAACAAGCUUUAGAAUUUUUUUAGGCUAGUAUAUUGACGUAUGAAUAGAUGUUGCAUUAAAAUGUAUUAACUACUGUUCUAGUAAAAUGUAGAACAUCUAUUGGGGCAUGUGUAUUAUUAGAAUUAUUCAAAUUUUUGUUUGGUAUUUUUUGGCGUGAAAAUUUGAACACAUUUUAAAAUUAAAAAUACUUUCAAUCUAAUCAUAUAUAUACACACACACAUUCUGAAGAGCACAGUUGGAUAAUUCAGUUGAUAUAAUUUCAUAUGAACCACAACCUCCACCCUCAUGUAAGAUAUUUGAAGUAAAACAUGAUCUUCACAUGAAAAGUUUUGUUGGUUUUUUUAUUUUAAUGAACAAAGGACAAAUUAAGCAAUGUUAUUAGUAAAAAUUUUUUCUUAUAAAAAACCUGAUACACUUUUUUUUUAUGUAUCUAGGUUUUUACAGAAUAGCAGGCUGGGAACUAAACAAGCAAUCCUAUUCUCACUACACACCACGAGGUACAGGAACUACUUAUUGUAGUCUCUGUAACCACAACUUUACUAGGCCUGCACACUAUAAACGUCAUUUAUUGGUGCACAGACCAGUUCGACAGAGGUUUGCCUGCCCUUUAUGUAGCAAGAAAUUCAGUUGGCCAGAUUAUGUAAAGAAGCACAUACAGCUGGUUCAUGAACAGCGCUGACAAAAAAAGAAUCAAGAUCUUGUUUACACAUUUUUAGCAACUAACUUUGAAGUGUGACUUUUAGAAAGAACAAACUUUGGAGUUGUGAAAAGACAAGAUCAAGUAACUACUUAAACAGAUAAAAGGAAUUAAAAAAAUUCUUUACUUUCCUUGCUUGUCAUUAUUUAAGGGAGACAAACAUUCAUAUUAAACUUUUGUUUGGACAAAGAGGAGUCAGAAAAAAAGUUUGGUAAACUAAAGUUUUUUUUGAGAAAUGGCAUUAUUACUUGAAUGAAUAGUUCUGUAAAAUUUAUUCAUAAUAUAUUUUCAUUCUAUUACAGUGAGUAUAAUAAAAGACUUAUAGUGAACAAAAUAUUAAUUUAAAGUGCUAGGAGUACUACUAAAUUUAUCCAUGUCUGCCUCUUUUGUUUUAAAAAAAGUUAAACAUCUUGAAAGGUAAUUCAUGAAUAUUUUCUUGGAAUGAAAAGAUAUUAUUGUCAGUAACUUCUCACCAAAAGUACAUUUAACUUUAUAGAUCAGAACUAAAAGGUAUCUUCUCAGUUAAUAAAACUAAAUCUGUACAAGAAACUACACAAUUUCAAAACCAGUAUAUGCAAGAAAACUAUAAUAAUGAUAAUGCAUUGGUUCAUCAAUUGAGUUCUUUACUCAAAAAGUAAAUUUUGAGAUGUAUGUGAUAUUUAUAAAUAUAUAAAGAGUAGUAAUUUAUAAAUGCAUUUCUAUUCUUCACACACUUUGACUGACAAAUAGCAGUAAGUUUCUGUAAAUUGCAGUUUAUCUAAGGAAGUGCCAAGAUCACAUAGAUGACUAAUAUUGAUAUUUUUAUUUCAGUUGGUUGAUAUAUGUACAGUGUUUCAUUAGUAUCACUUUUCAAAUAUAUUUGCAAAAAAGGUAACAUAAUGAUAAUGAAAAAUAUUGAAGAUUAACAUUUCAUAAAUGUCUUAAGACAGAAGCAAUUAUAAUUCUGUAAAAUAACCAAUAGUGGGGUUAAAUGAUUUGUAGACAUGUGUGAAAGGUUAAAAAAAACUUUAUUGUGGAUCAACUAAAGGAUAGUGAUACCACACUAGCAAGUAUAAAGUUGGCCUAUCUGGCAUUAGUCUUGUUUUUGCACUCCAACCACACUGCCAUGAUUCUGUUUUUACAGCUCUUUUUUUUUUUUUUUUUAAGUUUAUAAACAAAACUGCAGUAUAUUAAUUACAUGAUUGUUAAAUUGUCACUGUAAAUGUGGUUGGUAGCUAUGCAGCAUAUUUUGUACAUAGUGGAGUUCCAUGUGCUACAUGUAGUGGCCAAAGUACAAAAACUGACAGUGUAGUGGUUCAUAUUUAUUGCAAUUUCUUUUUCCUGAUAUGAAACAUCCACGUUGUUCAUGGAUUUAUUGAAAACUUCAUGUUGAUUUUAAAGUUGUAUUUAUAAUGUCAUAUAUGAUUGAGAUUCAUGGUUCAUUGUUUUUCAUUGUUUAUUUACUAUGAAAUGAGAAUAUAUACAGAUGGAAACCUUGAUGUGACGUUUGUGAUAAUAGUCUCUAAAAGAAGGCUGAGAAAUUCCACUGGAAUGUCAAAUUAACAUAAUUACACAAAGUUAAUGUAAAAAUUGUUGUAAUACAGAAAUUUGACAUUUGUAUGAUUAGAAUAUAUAUAGUUAAUAUAUGCAUAUGAGUAAUAUUGUGAUAUUUGAUUCAAGAAAUUAAAGGUACUUGAAGCACACUAACAUACGUUUCUAAACAUUCACUCUAAUAACAUAAGUCCAAAAUUCUUGUGUUCUUCUAUGUGUUGGAUUUAUUACUAAUCAUUUUUUAAUAUUUUUUUUUGUAAUAUUUCAUUGGAAUGUAUAAAAACUCUAUGGUCUUUUAAAUUUCCACAUGUGACAAUUGUUAUAUGGUAAACACACAAAUAAUCAUCCAUCUCUUUGCUCAAAAUAAGUUUGUGUUUAAUUAAUAAAUAAUUAUCUGUCAUUAAUUGUUAUACUACUUCAAAACCAUGAAGUAUGCUAUGAGACAGCAAAUACUUGAAAUGAUGAAACAUGAUAUUGCUUGUGAAUCAGUUAGUUGAGUAAAUUAACAACUAGAAGGAUGCCUAGUAAACUGCAGACCAUGUGGCACUGCUCAUUGUGACCUCUGGUACCACUGACUAUUUUCUUGAAAGCUAAUUGGUUUCUCCAAGGUAGCAAGUAGAUCGUGACACUCAGCUAAUUAAUUAGAUGAAGAAUAGUGUUCUUAUUCUCCUACAGUGUUAUGAUGCAUUAAGUAAGAAGUAGAUUUGUUUGUUUUAGUGCCACACUGGGCUAUCUUCUGUGUCCACCACAGGAAAUGAACCUCGUAUUUUAGCAUUGUGAGUCCAUAAAAUUACCACUGACCCACCAGGGGAUAGGAAGUAGAUCACGACACUCAGCUAAUGAAUUAGAUGAAUAAUAGUGUCCUCGUUCUCCUACAGUGUCAUGAUUCAUGAGGAUAUAGCAAAAGAAACCGAACAUGCCAUUUGUGCCUCAAUGUUCUUGGGUCAGAUCCUGCAUAUUCACGUCACAUGAAGCUUCACAAGUCAGCUCUUGAACAAAACUUAAUUUCUUGUCCGUUGUGUUAUCGACAGUUCAAUCGUUUAGACAACUAUAAACGCCAUGUGAGAAAAGUUCAUAACCAUUUAAGCUCAUGAUUUGAUUUAAACCUAACAUGUUGUAACUGGUAGAGCUCAACGUGUAUUAAAAUUGUAAUAAUAGUUGAUUGAUCAGGUAAUGUAACUUUAAUAGAACAAAGGUAUUUAAAGGUCUGAGUUUUUAAUUGUUUGAAUUUUGUAUUUUCACUAGUCUGUUAUAGUUCUGUGUAGCUGCACAGAAGAGGUUGUAAUUAAACAAUGUACCCUAAUAUUUAAUAAAAGUUCUGGAAUUAAA
This is a long non-coding RNA of Limulus polyphemus (Atlantic horseshoe crab), 3625 nucleotides long. RefSeq lists it as uncharacterized. NCBI's taxonomy places the organism in Eukaryota, Metazoa, Arthropoda, Merostomata, Xiphosura, Limulidae. The record is from RefSeq and is a predicted model, not a curated record. The transcript is spliced from 2 exons.